AAACGGCUACCACAUCCAAGGAAGGCAGCAGGCACGCAAAUUACCCACUCCCGGCACGGGGAGGUAGUGACAAAAAAUAACGAUACGGGACUCUUAUGAGGCCCCGUAAUCGGAAUGAGUACACUUUAAAUCCUUUAACGAGGACCCAUUGGAGGGAAAGUCUGGUGCCAGCAGCCGCGGUAACUCCAGCUCCAAUAGCGUAUAUUAAAGUUGUUGCGGUUAAAAAGCUCGUAGUUGGUUCUGCGUGCCACGCUGUUGGUUCGCCGCCUGUCGGUGUAACUGGCAUGCCGUGGCAUGUCCUGUCGGUGGUGUUCAGGAGCCUCGUCAGGCAACGAUCCGAGCUUCUGUUCGGUUUCGUGGUCGGAGGUCCAACCUGUUCGCCUACUUCUAUCCUACCUAGGUGCUCUUUACCGAGUGUCGAGGUAGGCCGACACGUUUACUUUGAACAAAUUAGAGUGCUCAAAGCAGGCUGAAAUUUCUGCCUGAAUAGUGGUGCAUGGAAUAAUAAAACAGGACCUUGGUUCUAUUUUGUUGGUUCUUAGGAACACAAGGUAAUGAUCAAUACGGACAGGCGGGGGCAUUCGUAUUGCGACGUUAGAGGUGAAAUUCUUGGAUCGUCGCAAGACGCACAAGAGCGAAAGCAUUUGCCAAGUAUGUCUUGAUUGAUCAAGAACGAAAGUUAGAGGUUCGAAGGCGAUCAGAUACCGCCCUAGUUCUAACCAUAAACGAUGCCAGCCAGCGAUCCGCCGAUGUUCCUCCGAUGACUCGGCGGGGAGCUUUUCCCCGGGAAACCAAAGCUUUUGGGUUCCGGGGGAAGUAUGGUUGCAAAGCUGAAACUUAAAGGAAUUGACGGAAGGGCACCACCAGGAGUGGAGCCUGCGGCUUAAUUUGACUCAACACGGGAAACCUCACCAGGCCAGGACAUUGGAAGGAUUGACAGAUUGAUAGCUCUUUCUUGAUUCAGUGGGUAGUGGUGCAUGGCCGUUCUUAGUUGGUGG
This 998-nucleotide ribosomal RNA is filed under the name Monaloniina sp. S102. RNAcentral describes it as "SSU rRNA". It matches the Rfam family "Eukaryotic small subunit ribosomal RNA", at positions 401 to 1304 of the family's 1831-position model. Lineage: Eukaryota; Metazoa; Arthropoda; Insecta; Hemiptera; Miridae. The record is from RNAcentral.